CUGACAAAAGAAACAGAUCAUGUUUAUUGAGCAAAAUUUAUAUUGCUGGAAUUUGCGUUGCUAUUUCAUGCAGUCAUGCCUCUGGUGUUAGGGAACUUCACACCGCAAGUGUCAUUUCCUUGGAUUAUUAGGCAACUAGCUCUGCUAAACUGUGGCAAAACAUAAAUCCUCCCUCCUGUUUAAGAGAGUUUGGAUGCUUCUUUCUGCUAGUGACAAGAGCUGACAGCAACAGAGAUUUCACCUUCAACUCAAAGCCCCCAAACUGAUGAUGAGCUUAGGUGCUGUGGAUCGAUUCCAUCUGUGCUGGGUUUCUCAUUAUAUGAAAUUGCUUGAGGGGCUGCCAGCAUAAUCAAGUGGGUCUGCAAUCGGCAUUAUAGUUGAAAGGUGAUGAGAUCCAGACUCAACCCAAUCCUAUGCCCAAGCCAAAUCCAUCAUCAUGGGUCUUCCUGUGAGGACAUCCUGACCUUGACCACCACAAGUUCAAACUGGGACUCUGUCAGCCACAGCAUUGCUACUGAGAAUAGAAGAUCUGGUGGGGAGCUAGGAUACCUGAAUGGUACCUUGAAACAGACUCAGAAUUUGAUGCUGGAUGACAUGUGACUGAAAUCCAUGAUGUGAUCAU
This is a long non-coding RNA of Dermochelys coriacea (leatherback sea turtle), 622 nucleotides long. RefSeq lists it as uncharacterized. The record is from RefSeq and is a predicted model, not a curated record. The transcript is spliced from 3 exons. Lineage: Eukaryota; Metazoa; Chordata; Testudines; Dermochelyidae.